Molecule: ribosomal RNA, 253 nt
Filed under: uncultured bacterium
Lineage: Bacteria
Description: partial 16S ribosomal RNA
Rfam family: Bacterial small subunit ribosomal RNA
Source: RNAcentral
UACGGAGGGUGCAAGCGUUAUCCGGAUUCACUGGGUUUAAAGGGUGCGUAGGCGGCUAGGUAAGUCCGUGGUGAAAUCCUGCAGCUUAACUGCAGAACUGCCAUGGAUACUAUUUAUCUUGAAUGUCGUGGAGGUUAGCAGAAUAUGUCAUGUAGCGGUGAAAUGCUUAGAUAUGACAUAGAAUACCCAUUGCGAAGGCAGCUAACUACGCGAUAAUUGACGCUGAUGCACGAAAGCGUGGGGAUCAAACAGG